UGCAGUCGAACGGUAACAGCAGAGCUUGCUCUGGCUGACGAGUGGCGCACGGGUGCGUAACGCGUAUACAAUCUACCUAUUACUGGAGUAUAGCCCGAAGAAAUUUGGAUUAAUCCUCCAUAGUAUUAUAGAGUGGCAUCAUUUUAUAAUUAAAACUACGGUGGUAAUAGAUGAGUAUGCGUCCUAUUAGUUUGUUGGUAAGGUAACGGCUUACCAAGGCAUCGAUAGGUAGGGGUCCUGAGAGGGAGAUCCCCCACACUGGUACUGAGACACGGACCAGACUCCUACGGGAGGCAGCAGUGAGGAAUAUUGGACAAUGGAGGAAACUCUGAUCCAGCCAUGCCGCGUGCAGGAAGACUGCCCUAUGGGUUGUAAACUGCUUUUAUAGAGGAAGAAACCUCCCUACGUGUAGGAAGCUGACGGUACUCUACGAAUAAGGAUCGGCUAACUCCGUGCCAGCAGCCGCGGUAAUACGGAGGAUCCAAGCGUUAUCCGGAAUCAUUGGGUUUAAAGGGUCCGUAGGCGGGCAGUUAAGUCAGUGGUGAAAGUCUUCCGCUCAACGGGAGAAUUGCCAUUGAUACUGAUUGUCUUGAGUCAUUAUGAAGUGGUUAGAAUGAGUAGUGUAGCGGUGAAAUGCAUAGAUAUUACUCAGAAUACCGAUUGCGAAGGCAGAUCACUAAUAAUGUACUGACGCUGAUGGACGAAAGCGUAGGUAGCGAACAGGAUUAGAUACCCUGGUAGUCUACGCCGUAAACGAUGGUUACUAGCUGUUUGGACGAUUGAGUCUGAGUGGCUAAGCGAAAGUGAUAAGUAACCCACCUGGGGGAGUACGUUCGCAAGAAUGAAACUCAAAGGAAAUUGACGGGGGCCCGCACAAGCGGUGGGAGCAUGUGGUUUAAUUCGAUGAUACGCGAGGAACCUUACCAG
Molecule: ribosomal RNA, 927 nt
Filed under: Mesonia sp.
Lineage: Bacteria; Pseudomonadati; Bacteroidota; Flavobacteriia; Flavobacteriales; Flavobacteriaceae
Description: bacterial SSU rRNA
Rfam family: Bacterial small subunit ribosomal RNA
Source: RNAcentral